UACGUAGGGGGCUAGCGUUGUCCGGAAUCAUUGGGCGUAAAGCGCGUGUAGGCGGUCCGGUAAGUCCGCUGUGAAAGUCGGGGGCUCAACCCUCGGAUGCCGGUGGAUACUGUCGGGCUUGAGUACGGAAGAGGCGAGUGGAAUUCCUGGUGUAGCGGUGAAAUGCGCAGAUAUCAGGAGGAACACCAAUUGCGAAGGCAGCUCGCUGGGACGUUACUGACGCUGAGACGCGAAAGCGUGGGGAGCAAAC
RNAcentral lists this ribosomal RNA (250 nucleotides) under uncultured bacterium. Its description in RNAcentral is "partial 16S ribosomal RNA". It matches the Rfam family "Bacterial small subunit ribosomal RNA", at positions 524 to 773 of the family's 1533-position model. The record is from RNAcentral.